This 301-nucleotide ribosomal RNA is filed under the name uncultured bacterium. RNAcentral describes it as "partial 16S ribosomal RNA". It matches the Rfam family "Bacterial small subunit ribosomal RNA", at positions 509 to 807 of the family's 1533-position model. The record is from RNAcentral.
CAGCCGCCACGGUAAUACGUAGGGUGCAAGCGUUAAUCGGAAUUACUGGGCGUAAAGCGUGCGCAGGCGGUUCGCUAAGACAGAUGUGAAAUCCCCGGGCUUAACCUGGGAAUUGCAUUUGUGACUGGCGGGCUAGAGUAUGGCAGAGGGGGGUGGAAUUCCGCGUGUAGCAGUGAAAUGCGUAGAUAUGCGGAGGAACACCGAUGGCGAAGGCAGUCCCCUGGGACAACACUGACGCUGAGGCACGAAAGCGUGGGGAGCAAACAGGAUUAGAUACCCCCGUAGUCCCUGUCUCUUAUAC